AUGAGCUCGGAUCAAAUACUCCAUGUCUUACAUACGGGUAUGUAUAUGAGUGGGGUUGUACUUUCUAACAAGUUAGGCCCCAUAUGUCAACCUUUUCGGCCUUAUAACAUACUUACUGUACAGCUGCUCCAUUUCGGAUCGGCCCGGCCCAAUAACACACGGAUCAGCGUCAAGUCUCUGACCUUUCUGGGCUUUCAUCCAAGCGCCAGCCGCAUCGCCCCGCAGCCCCCAAACCCCAGGUCCUCCCAGCCGCCUCGACGCCGUCGCCGUCGCCGUCAUGGCAGCCGCUCGUCCCGCUGCGCGCCGACCUCCAGCUGCUCGCGCGUGACCUGCGCCCUGACGCAGGCUGCUACCGCGCGACCCUGUUUCGUCUGA
This 375-nucleotide ribosomal RNA is filed under the name Triticum aestivum (bread wheat). RNAcentral's name for it is "partial small subunit ribosomal RNA". The record is from RNAcentral. Lineage: Eukaryota; Viridiplantae; Streptophyta; Magnoliopsida; Poales; Poaceae.